Molecule: ribosomal RNA, 692 nt
Filed under: Scarabaeidae sp. NZAC 03010514
Lineage: Eukaryota; Metazoa; Arthropoda; Insecta; Coleoptera; Scarabaeidae
Description: eukaryotic LSU rRNA
Rfam family: Eukaryotic large subunit ribosomal RNA (bases 407-692)
Source: RNAcentral
UACGUGAAACCGUUCAGGGGUAAACCUGAGAAACCCGAAAGGUCGAAAGGGGAGAUUCAACGCGUCUCGGAGUUCGCGAGCGGCGUGCGUAUGACGGGCGGCCGUUUUAGGACGAUACCAGCCCGCUCCGCGCGUCGACCGAUCGGGCACCGAACGCGUGCACUUCUCCUCCUGUAGGACGUCGUGACCCGUUGGGCGCCGGCCUAAGGACCGCGGUGGAGCCCGGACGCCUUUGGCGCGUCCGGACCCGCGGCUUCCCGGCCGGUACGACCGACGGUACAACUACGGCGAGGGGCCGCGACAAGUUCGCGUCCGGCGCGUCGCAAGCGCGAACGGUAAACGGGGGCAGUCCGGGCCUGGUACCGGAUCCCGAACCGUUCGGCUGUUAGCGGCGCGGUCCUCGGACAGAGCCCGUCUCACGCCAGUCUACGGCGCUAUAGCUUUGGGUACUUUCAGGACCCGUCUUGAAACACGGACCAAGGAGUCUAGCAUGUGCGCGAGUCAUUGGGACUCAAUUAAACCUAAAGGCGCAAUGAAAGUGAAGGUCCGCCUCGCGCGGACCGAGGGAGGAUGGGCCCGUUCACGGGCGGGCCCCGCACUCCCGGGGCGUCUCGUUCUCAUCGCGAGAAGAGGCGCACCCAGAGCGUACACGCUGGGACCCGAAAGAUGGUGAACUAUGCCUGGUCAGGACG